GAUUUCUUGAAGAAAAUAAAAGGUUCCGACUCAGUUUGUUAAGUAUGUGAUAACUCCUUUGUGGAGUAUCUGCGAUGCCGCCUUUGCCUGUUCCUUUAACUGAAGCUGGUCUUAUCACGUGAUUUGGUAUCGAGUGUCUUAUCUACCUACCAAUGUAAUUAAACACGAAAACUCUCGUAGUUAUUUGUGAAUCGCCAAAGUUAUCG
This 206-nucleotide long non-coding RNA is filed under the name Mytilus galloprovincialis (Mediterranean mussel). The record is from RNAcentral. Lineage: Eukaryota; Metazoa; Mollusca; Bivalvia; Mytilida; Mytilidae.